GAUGAACGCUACGGCAGGCUAACACAUGCAAGUCAAGGAAGAGCUUUCGGGGCUUCGACCGGGCGUACGGGUGCGUAACGGGGUAUACAAUCUGCCUUUUCACAUAGGGAUAGCCCGAAGAAAUUUGGAUUAAUACCUAAUGGUAUAUAGGGGUGGCAUCACCUUUAUAUUAAAGCUGAGGCGGUGAAAGAUGAGUAUGCGUUCUAUUAGCUAGUUGGAGAGGUAACGGCUCCCCAAGGCGACGAUAGAUAGGGGUUCUGAGAGGGAUAUCCCCCACACUGGUACUGAGAUACGGACCAGACUCCUACGGGAGGCAGCAGUGAGGAAUAUUGGACAAUGGUCGGAAGACUGAUCCAGCCAUGCCGCGUGCAGGAAGACGGCCUUAUGGGUUGUAAACUGCUUUUGCAGGGGAAGAAUAAGGACUACGUGUAGUUUGAUGACGGUACUCUGCGAAUAAGCAUCGGCUAA
This 468-nucleotide ribosomal RNA is filed under the name Capnocytophaga sp. oral taxon 329. RNAcentral describes it as "bacterial SSU rRNA". It matches the Rfam family "Bacterial small subunit ribosomal RNA", at positions 28 to 500 of the family's 1533-position model. The record is from RNAcentral. Lineage: Bacteria; Pseudomonadati; Bacteroidota; Flavobacteriia; Flavobacteriales; Flavobacteriaceae.